GCCUUUGUUGAUUAAUGGAUAUCACCUCAGCAUGAUUGAAUAUGGGAAACGUGCCAAUUGAGGUCACGGAGGUUCGAAUCCUUCCGAAGGCA
Mycena galericulata is the source of this 92-nucleotide non-coding RNA. The record is from the annotation of a GenBank genome assembly. Lineage: Eukaryota; Fungi; Basidiomycota; Agaricomycetes; Agaricales; Mycenaceae.